RNAcentral lists this unclassified non-coding RNA (209 nucleotides) under Hevea brasiliensis (rubber tree). Lineage: Eukaryota; Viridiplantae; Streptophyta; Magnoliopsida; Malpighiales; Euphorbiaceae. The record is from RNAcentral.
AUUUGAAAGGCAAAGCAUAUGAGUGAGUUCUUUUUGGUGUUUUUCUUUUUUCACCUACUUAGUAAAACCUGAUAUAAUAUUUAAACAAUAGAAGAGGAAAAGAUUAGGUAACUUUUAGUGACAGUGUGAUCACAACAAACUUUGUGUGGUUUGCUCAUUGUCCUACGAACAUGAGAUUGAUUCUGAAUUUUGCAUGGCUUUGAUUGCAG